GACGUCGAUCCCACGUUGGUCGAGUUCAACUCUUCUUCACUUUCUAGUUUUCUACCCCAAGUACCAUAUCGAUUGUCCAUUGUUGUGAAAACUCAAUCGUUGUUUUUCAUUUCAUAAUUAUUCGAAAUCAUUUUUAAUGCUUAAUUAUUUUUAAUAUCGAUGAGAAAAUAAUUCGAUCAGACUAUUGAUUAAUAAAAAUAAUUAUAGACUAUUCUUCUAUUUUAAUCAUGAACAUACUUAAAUUAACUUAAAUAACUAAACAACUCCCAUAGAAGAUUGAAAACGUUUCUUGCAUAGAAAUGAAGAGGAUUAGAGGAUUUCCGAUUUGUGCUAAGCAUCCUCACUUUUCGUGACAUUUCAAGGAGGCUGCAUAUGUACUAUGGACUCACAUCAUCAACACAUCUGGACGCUGUGGAGACACCCCACGAAGGGACAAGACCAAAGCACAUGAUCUACGGAAGAAUUGACCUAGUUGCCUAUAAACCGAUCAGCCGAUGGUGAGGAGUGGCUGCUACGCGCGUGAUUCUAUUUUGAAUCAACGUGAUCUAUGUUUAGACGACGCGCUGACGCUCCCUAUAAGUUCAAGCAGCAGAUUAUGAACCCCUGACGCCGCCGCAAGCACUAGAGAUCACGAAACUCAGCAAUAGUGAACAUAAUUGGUUACGCGUGCCAAAAUUAUGCUUUCGACAAAACGACCAAGAAUUUCAAAUCCGGCCAAAGACCCGUGAAUGACUCAAACUCCUCUCUACUCAUUUUCAUCAAUUUAUCAAAAUUAACCACACUUAUAAUAAUAACUCUCAUCUUUACUGCUAUCCCGGAAGAUGAUGAAAGACUUAACGAUACGAAACAUUCCAAUGCAUCUAAAGAUUUUUAAUUAAUUCAAAUUAUUCAAAUAAAUUUUCUUUUUUAAUUUUAAAUUCUUAUUUUAAUCUGCAAAAAAUGAAUUUUAUUUACUUCUUAUUACUCCAAUUAAUAAUCACUGAACUGAAUCACAACCGAGAUUGAAUAAUUUUGAUACAAAAGCACGUAACGAAGUAAAGUAAUCACUUGAAGAGAGUACCCGAAGUCUGAACUCAAGUAGAAGAAUCAAAUUUCCAAGAAAUAAUAUUUCCAGAAGUACGUACCGUGCACGGGACAGAAUGUGAUGGCGUCUGUGCUGAGGAGCGUCGCGACGUCCAAUAUAUGCUCUCGUCCAGACGCCCCCGCAUUUCCGUACAUCAGGUUUUACUCGACAGGCACGAAAAAGGCGUGCGUCUCGGAGCAUCGCGACGCUCUCCGAACUAGGCGACCUUAUGCUCCAAAACUGGAUUCGCUACUUGAUUCUUUGACCCGUAAAACACUUUCUUUGAUACUUUCUUUAUUUAUCAUUCUCUCCUUAAACCCUUCCAGCUAGUCUAUUUCCAACUUUUCUCUGAAUUAUUUAGAUAUUUUAAUUGGAGAUGACUUUUUACAGGACUUGAGUUUUAUUAAUUCCAAAGUUUUUAGGAAAAUUCAAACUUUCAUGAUGAAAAUGAUGAGAGGAGAUAUAUUUGCUUUGUUCAAUAUUUAUAAAGUUAGCAUGACAAUAUUAAAUAAAAUACUAAUUAAUUAUUUAAAUAAUAUGUUCAAUAAAUAUUAUUUGUUUAAUUCUUCUGAAAGAAAUAAUUGGUUCAGUAUUUUUCAACUUCUCAAAAAAGCAUGAAUAAAAAUAAUUGUUCCAUAUUUCUGGGUGGCCUAAAAUAUUUUAAAAAUAUUUUGGACUAUAAGUGUUAUCAGGGUAGCACACUUUCUAAAUUUUCCAGCUUCUCCCUAAUCGAUAUUUAUAAUCAAAGAACGACUUCUUUUACGAAGAACUACUUUUAAUAAUAAAAAGAAACUAAAAGAAAACAA
This 1869-nucleotide long non-coding RNA is filed under the name Chelonus insularis. RNAcentral describes it as "uncharacterized LOC118068177". The record is from RNAcentral. Lineage: Eukaryota; Metazoa; Arthropoda; Insecta; Hymenoptera; Braconidae.